UAGGGAAUCUUCCGCAAUGGACGAAAGUCUGACGGAGCAACGCCGCGUGAGUGAAGAAGGAUUUCGGUUCGUAAAACUCUGUUGUUAGGGAAGAAAAAAUGUAUAGUAACUAUAUACAAAAGAGACGGUACCUAACCAGAAAGCCACGGCUAACUACGUGCCAGCAGCCGCGGUAAUACGUAGGUGGCAAGCGUUGUCCGGAAUUAUUGGGCGUAAAGCGCGCGCAGGUGGUUUAGAAAGUCUGAUGUGAAAGCCCACGGCUCAACCGUGGAUGGUCAUUGGAAACUAAUAAACUUGAGUGCAGGAGAGAUAAGUUGAAUUCCUAGUGUAGCGGUGAAAUGCGUAGAGAUUAGGAGGAACACCGGUGGCGAAAGCGACUUUUUGGCCUGCAACUGACACUGAGGCGCGAAAGCGUGGGGAGCAAACAGG
RNAcentral lists this ribosomal RNA (429 nucleotides) under Verrucomicrobiota bacterium. RNAcentral describes it as "Verrucomicrobia bacterium partial 16S ribosomal RNA". It matches the Rfam family "Bacterial small subunit ribosomal RNA", at positions 355 to 776 of the family's 1533-position model. Lineage: Bacteria; Pseudomonadati; Verrucomicrobiota. The record is from RNAcentral.